Long non-coding RNA from Drosophila eugracilis, 370 nucleotides. RefSeq lists it as uncharacterized. NCBI's taxonomy places the organism in Eukaryota, Metazoa, Arthropoda, Insecta, Diptera, Drosophilidae. The transcript is spliced from 2 exons. The record is from RefSeq and is a predicted model, not a curated record.
CGACUACUACAUCUCCUACUACUACUACUUCUACUACUACUACUACUUCUCCUACUACUACUACUACUACUUCUUCUAAUACCAAAACUCAUACUAUUCCUACUACUACAACCACUACGAGUACGACUAAGGGUCUUGAAACCACCAAAACCAAACAUGAAACUACCACGAAAUCUUCAAUUCAUUCUACAACGAGAAAGUCUUCAAACUCAUCCGGAACCAUUGCCGAAACCGGAAAAGUUGCAAAAUCCUCUACAACUCCCAAUCCUUACGGCGAAUCUCUAAUUCCUGCUUGCUACAGCAUCGAAGUGAAUGGAGUGGAACAACUUGGUUGUGCGGAGAUUCCCGACAUAAGCUGCGAGGCCUUGAG